Raphanus sativus (radish) is the source of this 1476-nucleotide long non-coding RNA. RefSeq lists it as uncharacterized. The record is from RefSeq and is a predicted model, not a curated record. The transcript has 10 exons. Lineage: Eukaryota; Viridiplantae; Streptophyta; Magnoliopsida; Brassicales; Brassicaceae.
CAGUCAAUUCAGUAUAUUUGCAGUCAGAGAUAAGUUUAAGUUGAUAUCAUAAAUUUUUAGAUCAUGGUUCCGGAAAGGAGAUACAGAUGUAGAGAAGCUCCAGCAACGCUACUACUCUAAUCUCAAGGUUUACGGUUCUUGGUCGACAUGCGCGGUGUUGAUAUUGAUGACUGAGGGAUGAAUCGUGACUUAAUGACUAUUACUUAUUAUUUGUUAUGAAUCUUCAUAACUGCAAUACCGCGUAUUUGUAGAAAAGAAAGAAGCCCGCCAAGUUUGACACUUGCCCAUGAUUAAAUUCAGUAGACAUGUGCGCUUUUGUGUGAUUCAAUCUAUAUAUACAGUGGUGGUCUGUGACAAUUGAGAGAAGAACAAACUGGCAAUGAAGAAAACAACACAAGCCUCUGACGCUCCAGUUGCUCAAACCGGCGUUAUGUACUCUUGCCGAUGGGGUUAAAGUGAGUUCUUUCACUAUUUCAAGUUUAUGUUGGUAGAAAGGUGGGCUCGGUCACUGUUAAUGCUAUAUUUGGCCCGAGAGCUAUGGAGGUGGCUUUAAAGUUUGAGCAUACAAGCAGCACAGGACGUAACCAUGGGCCACCGUUUGAGUGGCAAGUUUACAAGGCACUUGGUGGCAGUCAUGGUGUACCACGAGUUCAUUUAAAAGGUCGGCAAGGUAAUUUUUACGUGAAGACGAGCUGCUCUGGCGGAAGAGUUGUUUGUGUUAAGACAAGUGGAUGAGUUUGAGGCGAAAGGAUUAAGUCCUCCACCAAGGAGAAAGAAUUGAUUUGACAUAAACGUUAUUUUAGGGAUUUGGCUUCUCCUGAGGCUUCCGUUAGAGAAGCAGCUGCUAUCUCCUUGGUGACGAGGCUGCAGGAGAUUCAGAAGCAGUACAAGAUGUUGCCUGAUAAGGAAUCUGUUGACGGAGGAUUGAUGCUCGAGGCUCAGAAGAAUGAUGGGUUGGAUAACUGUGCACCGCAUCUCAGAUACGCUCUAGGCAGGCUUAUUCGUGGUGUCUCUUCUUCCAGAGAGUGUGCAAGACGAGAAUUGUGUUGGGGUUGACAUUACCUGUUAGCUUAAUCUCUAGCAUUAAUUUGUGAAUUUCUACUGCAGCUCAUUUCUGAUUCAUCCAUGAAGGGACAAGAUGUAAAAGAAUGCUUACUGGGCAGGUUGUUUGCUUAUGGUGAUCUAGCAUGAUCUGAAGACUAGAGAAUAUACAUAGCCCAGUUUGGAAGUUGCAAGUUCACUGACAAUUUCAGUGGAUGUCAAAAUCUUGCCAACCAAAAGGUUCUUUGCAAAAAACAAUUUUGCAACAGACUGCACAAAUGUAACUGUAAUUAUUAUAAUAUUCUCAAUUAUAUAUUAUAAGAUAAAAAUAUUCUUCUUCAUUGUCUACAGAAGAGAGAAAAUUUAAGUAAUAUUAGUGUUUUAUUAUAAUUUCCAGUGAAAAAAGUAGAAGAGAGAACAUGUUUUUACGUCUAA